RNAcentral lists this ribosomal RNA (459 nucleotides) under uncultured bacterium. RNAcentral describes it as "partial 16S ribosomal RNA". It matches the Rfam family "Bacterial small subunit ribosomal RNA", at positions 28 to 523 of the family's 1533-position model. The record is from RNAcentral.
GAUGAACGCUGGCGGUGUGCCUAAUACAUGCAAGUCGAGCGGUAAGGUCUCUUCGGAGAUACACGAGCGGCGGACGGGUGAGUAACGCGUAAGAAUGUACCCCAAACUGAGGGAUAAGCACCAGAAAUGGUGUCUAAUACCGCAUGUGCUCUUCGGAGUAAAGCUUCGGCGGUUUGGGAACAGCUUGCGUAAGAUUAGCUAGUUGGUAAGGUAAUGGCUUACCAAGGCGACGAUCUUUAGCUGGUCUGAGAGGAUGAUCAGCCACACUGGGACUGAGACACGGCCCAGACUCCUACGGGAGGCAGCAGUAGGGAAUUUUCCACAAUGGGGGCAACCCUGAUGGAGCAACACCGCGUGCAGGAUGAAGGCCUUCGGGUUGUAAACUGCUUUUGUCCGUGACGAAUAUGACGGUAGCAGACGAAUAAGGAUCGGCUAACUACGUGCCAGCAGCCGCCGCCG